GGUUGCGGCAUCGCGGUCCUGAUUGGAGCGGGUUGCAUUGCCAUGGGGAUUGUUACCUUGCUCAUUAGCGAUUGGUUAUUGUGGACCCUGCCUCAGGAGAUCAGCCACUCUGCAACAAGGACAAGACCGUCAUUAUCACGGUUAAUGGUGAGAUAUAUAACCACAAGCAGUUGAGAGAAACAUUAAAGGGUCAUCAAUUCUGAACUGGCAGUGGCUGUGAAGUGAUAGCGCAUCUUGAUCAAUUUGGUUUGCUUCAGAAAUGAAAGCUAUAAGUGAUGAUUGUGAAAGAUUGAUAUCUUUUCCUCCUGGGCAUUUAUACUCUAGC
Molecule: long non-coding RNA, 325 nt
Organism: Rosa rugosa (rugosa rose)
Lineage: Eukaryota; Viridiplantae; Streptophyta; Magnoliopsida; Rosales; Rosaceae
Exons: 3
Source: RefSeq, a predicted model, not a curated record